CAGAUAGACAAGUACCGUGAGGGAAAGUUGCAAAGCACUUUGAAGAGAGAGUUAAAGAGGACGUGAAACCGAUGAGGUGGAAACGGAUAGAGCCAGCGUAUCUGGCCUGUAUUCAACCGCAUUGUUGUGAGCAGUUGGGCGCUGCAUCUCCAGAUUGGGACAGUCCUGGAUUGCAAGCCGCAAUGUUGUGCAUUUUUAGGUCGAGUGCGCCGAGACUUUCGAGAAGGCGAUAUGAGCUCAAUUUUGAGGCCAGCUUGCUGGUACCCGGAUUGGAGGAAUGUUGUUCGUUUUGGAUGUGAAUGGGGGAAAGGUUUUCGGGCUCGUAUGGGUUCGAAUUGGUGUGGGGUGGCAGUUGCAUGCAACAUGUGCCUUCUGCCAAUUCGGUCCUGUGCGAGCUCACAAUCCCACUCUCGGCGUAAAAGUUGGUCAUCUAUCCGACCCGUCUUGAAACACGGACCAAAGAGUUUAUCGUGUGCGCAAGUCAUUGGGUGUUGAAAACUCAAAGGCGCAAUGAAAGUAAAGUAUCCGCAAGGAUACGACGUGUGAUCUGAGCAAUCACGAUUGCCUGGAGCAACAUGGCCCCAUUCUGGACGCUUGCGGCGGGGUGGAGGAAGAGCGUACGCGGUGAGACCCGAAAGAUGGUGAACUAUUCCUGAGCAGGAUGAAGCCAGAGGAAACUCUGGUGGAAGUCCGAAGCGAUUCUGACGUGCAAAUCGAUCGUCUGACUUGGGUAUAGGGGCGAAAGACUAAUCGAACCAUCUAGUAGCUGGUUCCUUCCGAU
RNAcentral lists this ribosomal RNA (781 nucleotides) under Pratylenchus penetrans. RNAcentral's name for it is "partial large subunit ribosomal RNA". It matches the Rfam family "Eukaryotic large subunit ribosomal RNA", at positions 334 to 965 of the family's 3401-position model. Lineage: Eukaryota; Metazoa; Nematoda; Chromadorea; Rhabditida; Pratylenchidae. The record is from RNAcentral.